AGUGAACGCUGGCGGUAGGCCUAACACAUGCAAGUCGAACGGCAGCACAGUAAGAGCUUGCUCUUACGGGUGGCGAGUGGCGGACGGUUGAGGAAUACAUCGGAAUCUACUUUUUCGUGGGGGAUAACGUAGGGAAACUUACGCUAAUACCGCAUACGACCUACGGGUGAAAGCAGGGGAUCUUCGGACCUUACGCGAUUGAAUGAGCCGAUGUCGGAUUAGCUAGUUGGCGGGGUAAAGGCCCACCAAGGCGACGAUCCGUAGCUGGUCUGAGAGGAUGAUCAGCCACACUGGAACUGAGACACGGUCCAGACUCCUACGGGAGGCAGCAGUGGGGAAUAUUGGACAAUGGGCGCAAGCCUGAUCCAGCCAUACCGCGUGGGUGAAGAAGGCCUUCGGGUUGUAAAGCCCUUUUGUUGGGAAAGAAAAGCAGCAGGUUAAUACCCCGCUGUUCUGACGUUACCCAAAGAAUAAGCACCGGCUAACUUCGUG
Molecule: ribosomal RNA, 492 nt
Filed under: uncultured bacterium
Lineage: Bacteria
Description: partial 16S ribosomal RNA
Rfam family: Bacterial small subunit ribosomal RNA
Source: RNAcentral